This is a long non-coding RNA of Callorhinchus milii (elephant shark), 405 nucleotides long. RefSeq lists it as uncharacterized. The record is from RefSeq and is a predicted model, not a curated record. Lineage: Eukaryota; Metazoa; Chordata; Chondrichthyes; Chimaeriformes; Callorhinchidae. The transcript is spliced from 3 exons.
UGCUGUGAGCUGUUUCCCAUUCAGACUAAAGAAUCAUUCACUGCAGGCAAACAGGCGAGAGAUCCAGUACAUGUCGAGAACAUUCUCGUGGAGAUGUUCCCAAUUGCAUCUUUUAGACGCUUGUGGGUCCAAGCCUCACUUCGGGACUCUGGACUCCAGUCAAGACUAACACUUGAACAAUGACAACAACAACUUGCAUUUAUAUAGCAUCCCUCACACAGGGUAUUGUCCAGAGCACACAGUCCUCAGUGCAUUUGUGGGUUAUUUUCCUUGCUGUACUGUGUACUGGAGGACUCACCACCAGGUUACCUGCAAUAAUCUGCAUUCUGGAAUGGUUCAGUUCAAAUUCUCUGCACAAAUUCUCUCCACUAACUCUAAAAAGUGAAUAUCCUAUAUAUUUGUUUA